Molecule: long non-coding RNA, 2735 nt
Filed under: Nicotiana tabacum (common tobacco)
Lineage: Eukaryota; Viridiplantae; Streptophyta; Magnoliopsida; Solanales; Solanaceae
Description: long non-coding RNA (NTAB_LNC005519)
Source: RNAcentral
UAGCAAAAACAGAUGAUCCCAUCCCCCUUCAUAUAAAACCUAACAACAGAUCCCUCUUCUCAGAAAAUGGAUUCCCCCCCCCUUUGUUAGAAAACCCUAGUCUCCACCCUCUUCUUCUUCAUUCCCUCCAAUCUACAUACACUUCUCACACCUACUCUCUCGUUCGCACCUCACGCACACACACUCAAUCACAUACACACGCCUGAACUAACAAGAGAAGAAGCUUGCACUUCAAAAUUUAAGAUCUAGAAAAUUUCAAAAGAAGAGAGAAAAAAUCAAAAUAAAUAAAUAAAUUAAAAGGCUAUUGAAAUUUCUGCAACAUGGCUUGAUCGUUUCUGGGUUUCGAAGGUUGUUUGAGUUGUAAAUGUGUUGUUCGUUUGCUGAUUCUGUUGCUCUUCUCUGCUGAAGCCCAUUCCGACUAAUUUCUGGCCUUUAUUUGGUACUUCGUACUGUUCCCUUACUUCCAAUAAGUAAGUUCUGACUACUCAUGUAUUCAUAUUUCUCUUUUGAUGCAAAAAUAUUAUUUUCACGGCUCGAUUUGUUGAAUGUUUGCGUUAAAAUGGCGAUAUGAACUGAUUUGCAGUCCUAUUUGUCGUAUUACUUGACAAUGAACUUAAGUGGAUUGUGAAACCGUGAAUUCUCUCUGUAAUUUCUGAUACUGAUUUCCUUAUCUCAUGAUUCGAUUAAACAUUAUUUGUGUCUUCUAUUAAAAAUGUAUAAUAGAAGCAUAAAUUAGUUUCUUUAGAUGAGAAUAUCUUUAAGCUGUUCUAAUAUUAUUUUUUUCCUUAGGAUCUGUGAUUAUUGUUGCUUCUUAAUUAUGAUGUGAAUUGGCAUUCUAUAGAGGUUUUCUAUCUAUUCUUGUUCCCAUCUAUCUUUUUCUUUAUAUUUCAUUAUUAUAUUUUGACCAUUAAGUUACAAUUGAGUGGCAUGCAUUGAUUAAACUUUUAAGGUAAACUGCAGAAGUGAUAUUAAUUUUCAACAUGAUGUAUGUCACCAGAAGUUCAUUUAUAAGCUCAUUUUCCUACAACAUUUCAUAGCAUGUGAAGUUUUGUAUCCAUAUAUUUGAUUUUAUAUAUAUUGCACUAUACCGGUGGUCUUCUAGAAAAUUUCACUUUUAUCUGGUUCUUUAGCGAUAGCUUGUUAUAGCUAUGAAUGAGAUGGCACCAUGAGAAUUCUAGCUCGAGUGUUUUUGAAUUCAUAUGCUGGAUACAAGUUUGUAUUUUUAUGUGCCGGGAUCAAAGUUAUGUGACUAAAAUUAGAGGAGUAGUUGCAGUUAUAAAUUUGUAAUUAUUGCACCAAAAAAUAUGACACUAGAAAGGCAGGGAGUCAGCAUCUGAAGAAACUGAUGUGAGUUAAUGGGACAGUAUGGAUGUAAAUUCUUUCCACAAUCAUUUAGUCCUAAACCUUAGGAAUAUUAAACAACUUUUCAAUAUUCGCAGUAUGCAUUAUGUGUGCUUUUAAUUUAUUAUCGUGAUUGUGUAUACGUUCGCAUGACAUAAUUAUGAUUCCCAAAAUAAAAUCAAAGUACGCAUUCGUGUGACUUUGGCUGAACAAUCCUCUUAAUUAAUAAAGCGUGAUCAAUUGUGUACACAUACGCGUGACAUUAUUUUAGCGCACCAAUUAAUGCGGAUUUAUACACAUGUGAUCCGUUUUAAAGAUAAAUCCAUAACGCCAUAAUUAAAAAGAGGAAAAAGGUAAAAUACACAUAGAUUUUAAAUACGUAAUUAAUUAAUUAAGCCGGGUAUGAUAAAAGCGACCUUGCUAAAACCACAAAAUCCUGAAAUACCUAACACCUUCUCUCAUGUUAAUAGAAUUUCUUACCCGGUCUUCUGAUUUUUGCGAACUUUAAAACAGAGUCAAACUUUCUCGAUUUGGGAUUUUAAAAUAAACUGGUGACUUGGGACACCAUAAAAUUAUUGCAAGUGGCGACUCUAAAUUAAAUUAAUAAUUCCAUUUCGAAUAAUGUCACUUUAACACUCUAUUCCUCGGAAAAAGGAGGUGUGACAUGAACAAGUGUCAACCAUAAACCUUUCUAAUAAUCAUGGUUGAAAGCAGUUACGAAACAUAACUUGAAUCGCGAAACCCUAGAUUAGUAGAGAGAAAUUGUUCUUGAGUUCUUGUUGAGAAUCUAGUGAUUUUGAGAUGAAAUAUUAUUAGAAUUGAUGUUUGAAAGUAGUAUUCUAACGUUAAUCGCAUUGAAAACUCACGUUAGGUAGUAUGAGAACCCUUGGAUGACUUGAGGAUGAGAUGAGAGGUUUAAUCUUUAAAGAAUGAAGCUAUUUUCUCUCUCCCCAUCCCUUUUAUAUCAAUUUCAUGUCUUGGGCGCCACAACCAAAGCCCAGCGGUCUCCACGGCACCAAAAUAAAAUUGUUUCUGGUUUUGGCAUUAUGACGGGCUACCCGCUCCCCCUGGGCGCCCAAAAACACAACCCAUUUAUCUAACAAGAUAGUCUUUAGUAAAAUGCCUAUAACUUUUUAUAGGAAUAUAAAAUGAAGAACGGUUUGAAGUUUUGAAAACUAGACUUCAAGGGCUUUAAUUUCACCACAUAACUCAUAAUAGAUUGGGAGAUAUACGUGUUUUAAUUUAGAUCUCUUGUGAUUAUAAUUGUGUUCUUACCAAGAUAGAGCUUGCCGCAGGUCAGAUUUAAUCAUAGGAAAGAAAGAUUGCUCAUGCUAGGCGUAAAGGAAGAAGUUCAAAAGAUUCAGGUUGCUAAAAUUCUCAAGCGACAAGUCCAG